RNAcentral lists this ribosomal RNA (253 nucleotides) under uncultured bacterium. Its description in RNAcentral is "partial 16S ribosomal RNA". It matches the Rfam family "Bacterial small subunit ribosomal RNA", at positions 524 to 776 of the family's 1533-position model. The record is from RNAcentral.
UACGGAGGAUGCAAGCGUUGUCCGGAAUGAUUGGGCGUAAAGGGUCCGUAGGUGGUGAUGUAUGUCUAUUGUCAAAGGUUCUGGCUUAACCAGAGACAGGCAGUAGAAACUGCAAAACUAGAGUGCAGUCGGGGCAGGGGGAAUUCCUGGUGUAGCGGUGAAAUGCGUAGAGUUCAGGAAGAACACCGGUGACGAAAGCGCCCUGCUAGGCUGUGACUGACACUGAGGGACGAAAGCUAGGGGAGCUAAUGGG